UACGGGGGGAGCAAGCGUUGUUCGGAUUUACUGGGCGUAAAGCGUGUGUAGGCGGCCAAGCAAGUCGGAUGUGAAAGCCCCGGGCUCAACCCGGGAAGUGCACCCGAUACUGCCUGGCUUGAGUAUCGGAGAGGUUGGUGGAAUUCUCGGUGUAGAGGUGAAAUUCGUAGAUAUCGAGAGGAACACCGGUGGCGAAGGCGGCCAACUGGACGAAUACUGACGCUGAGACACGAAAGCGUGGGGAGCAAACAGG
This 253-nucleotide ribosomal RNA is filed under the name uncultured bacterium. RNAcentral describes it as "partial 16S ribosomal RNA". It matches the Rfam family "Bacterial small subunit ribosomal RNA", at positions 524 to 776 of the family's 1533-position model. The record is from RNAcentral.